CAGCCGCCGCGGUAAUACGGAGGGUGCAAGCGUUAAUCGGAAUUACUGGGCGUAAAGCGUGCGCAGGCGGUUUGUUAAGACAGAUGUGAAAUCCCCGGGCUUAACCUGGGAACUGCAUUUGUGACUGGCGAGCUAGAGUAUGGCAGAGGGGGGUAGAAUUCCACGUGUAGCAGUGAAAUGCGUAGAGAUCGGGAGGAACAUCAGUGGCGAAGGCGGCCAUCUGGGACAACACUGACGCUGAGGCACGAAAGCGUGGGGAGCAAACAGGAUUAGAUACCCCCGUAGUCCCUGUCUCUUAUAC
Molecule: ribosomal RNA, 301 nt
Filed under: uncultured bacterium
Lineage: Bacteria
Description: partial 16S ribosomal RNA
Rfam family: Bacterial small subunit ribosomal RNA
Source: RNAcentral